Molecule: ribosomal RNA, 251 nt
Filed under: Escherichia coli
Lineage: Bacteria; Pseudomonadati; Pseudomonadota; Gammaproteobacteria; Enterobacterales; Enterobacteriaceae
Description: partial 16S ribosomal RNA
Rfam family: Bacterial small subunit ribosomal RNA
Source: RNAcentral
UUAAAUUGAAGAGUUUGAUCAUGGCUCAGAUUGAACGCUGGCGGCAGGCCUAACACAUGCAAGUCGAACGGUAACAGGAAGCAGCUUGCUGCUUUGCUGACGAGUGGCGGACGGGUGAGUAAUGUCUGGGAAACUGCCUGAUGGAGGGGGAUAACUACUGGAAACGGUAGCUAAUACCGCAUAACGUCGCAAGACCAAAGAGGGGGACCUUCGGGCCUCUUGCCAUCGGAUGUGCCCAGAUGGGAUUAGCU